Molecule: ribosomal RNA, 428 nt
Filed under: uncultured bacterium
Lineage: Bacteria
Description: partial 16S ribosomal RNA
Rfam family: Bacterial small subunit ribosomal RNA
Source: RNAcentral
GUGGGGAAUAUUGGGCAAUGGGCGAAAGCCUGACCCAGCAACGCCGCGUGAGGGAAGAAGGCCUUCGGGUUGUAAACCUCUGUCCUUGGUGACGAAAAAAAUGACGGUAGCCAAGGAGGAAGCCCCGGCUAACUACGUGCCAGCAGCCGCGGUAAUACGUAGGGGGCGAGCGUUGUCCGGAAUUACUGGGCGUAAAGGGUGCGUAGGUGGCCUUUUAAGGUGGAUGUGAAAUACCCGGGCUUAACUUGGGGGGUGCAUCUAAGACUGGAGGGGUAGAGUGCAGGAGAGGGAAGCGGAAUUCCUAGUGUAGCGGUGAAAUGCGUAGAUAUUAGGAAGAACACCAGUGGCGAAGGCGGCUUUCUGGACUGUAACUGACACUGAGGCACGAAAGCGUGGGGAGCAAACAGGAUUAGAAACCCGGGUAGUCC